This 253-nucleotide ribosomal RNA is filed under the name uncultured bacterium. RNAcentral describes it as "partial 16S ribosomal RNA". It matches the Rfam family "Bacterial small subunit ribosomal RNA", at positions 524 to 776 of the family's 1533-position model. The record is from RNAcentral.
UACGUAGGGCGCAAGCGUUGUCCGGAAUUAUUGGGCGUAAAGAGCUCGUAGGCGGUUUGUCGCGUCUGCUGUGAAAACCUAAGGCUCAACCUUGGGCUUGCAGUGGAUACUGGCAAGCUGGAGUAUGGUAGAGGAAGGUGGAAUUCCCGGUGUAGCAGUGAAAUGCGCAGAUAUCAGGAGGAACACCGGUGGCGAAGGCGGAUCUCUGGGCCAUUACUGACGCUGAGGAGCGAAAGCGUGGGGAGCGAACAGG